ACGAGAUAGAGAUAUGUCAUGUGCCCUUCGGGGAAAAGUCGNAGACGAUGGUGGUGCAUGGUUGUCGUCAGCCUCGUUGUCGAUGAUGAUGUUGUGUGUUAACGCUCCCGCAACGCAGCGCAACCCCUUGCCAUUAGUUGCUACGCAAGAGCACUCUAAUGGGACCUGCUACCGACAAUGUGGAGGAAGGUGGGGACGACGUCAAAUCAUCAUGCCCCUUAUGACCUGGUGCUACACACGUAAUACAAUGGUCAUUAACAGAGGGAAGCAAAGCCGCGAGGCAGAGCAAAUCCCCAAAAAUGAUCUCAGUUCGGAUCGUAGUGCUGCAACCCGCCUGCGUGAAGUUGGAAUUGCUAGUAAUCGCAGAUCACAUGCUGCGGUGAAUACGUCCCGGGUCUUGUACACACCG
Molecule: ribosomal RNA, 409 nt
Filed under: uncultured bacterium
Lineage: Bacteria
Description: bacterial SSU rRNA
Rfam family: Bacterial small subunit ribosomal RNA
Source: RNAcentral